RNAcentral lists this ribosomal RNA (2893 nucleotides) under Escherichia coli. Its description in RNAcentral is "23S ribosomal RNA". It matches the Rfam family "Bacterial large subunit ribosomal RNA". Lineage: Bacteria; Pseudomonadati; Pseudomonadota; Gammaproteobacteria; Enterobacterales; Enterobacteriaceae. The record is from RNAcentral.
GGAUAAGGAAAGUAAAAAAGGGCGCAUGGCGGAUGCCUUGGCUCUCGGAGGCGAUGAAGGACGUGAUAAGCUGCGAUAAGCUUUGGGGAGGUGCAAAUGACCUUUGAUCCAGAGAUUUCCGAAUGGGACAACCCAAUAUCUUGAAGAGGUAUUAUCUUACUAUGUAAGAGGCUAACGCAGGGAACUGAAACAUCUUAGUACCUGCAGGAAAAGAAAAUAAACAAUGAUUCCCCCAGUAGUGGCGAGCGAACGGGGAACAGCCCAAACCAUCCAUGUUACGGCAUGGGUGGGGUUGUAGGACUACGCCGUUGCAUGAAGACAUCAGAGAAGAACUUUCUGGAAAGAAAGACCAUAGAGCAUGACAGUUGCGUAUUCGAAUGUUGUCGAAGCAUAGUAGUAUCCUGAGUAGCGCGGAGCACGAGGAAUUCUGCGUGAAUCUGCCGGGACCAUCCGGUAAGGCUAAAUACUCCCGAGAGACCGAUAGCGAACCAGUACCGUGAGGGAAAGGUGAAAAGCACUUCGAACAGAAGAGUGAAAUAGUUCCUGAAACCGUGCGCCUACAAGCGGUCGGAGCUCGUUAAUGAGUGACGGCGUGCCUUUUGCAUAAUGAACCUACGAGUUGCCUUUGCCGGCAAGGUUAAGUGUGACGACACACGUAUCCGAAGCGAAAGCGAGUCUGAACAGGGCGUAUAGUCGGCAGUGGCAGACGCGAAACCAAGUGAUCUACCCUUGGCCAGGUUGAAGGCUGGGUAACACCAGCUGGAGGACCGCACCAAUAAGCGUUGAAAAGCUUCUGGAUGAGCUGAGGGUAGGGGUGAAAGGCUAAUCAAACUUGGAGAUAGCUCGUACUCCCCGAAAUGCAUUUAGGUGCAGCCUUGCGGGUUACUGAUGUGAGGUAGAGCGACUGAUAAGAUGCGAGGGCUUCACCGCCUAUCAAGUCUUGACAAACUCCGAAUGCGCAUCAGUUCUACCGCAGGAGUGAGGGCAUGGGUGCUAAGGUCCGUGCCCGAGAGGAGAAGAAUCCGGACCACCUGCUAAGGUCCCGAAAUGACAGCUAAGUUAAACUAACGAAGUCUGACUGCUAAGACAGCUAGGAUGUUGGCUUGGAAGCAGCCAUUCAUUUAAAGAGUGCGUAACAGCUCACUAGUCGAGGAGUCGGGCGUGGAUAAUAAUCGGGUAUCAAGUUGUCUACCGAAGCAGUGGGAUCAUUAAUAUGAUCGGUAGGGGAGCAUUCCAGUCAGCGUCGAAGGCGUACCGUGAGGUAUUCUGGAGCGUCUGGAAAAGCAAAUGUAGGUAUAAGUAACGAUAAAGGGGGCGGGAAACCCCCUCGCCGAAAGACUAAGGUUUCCUGAUCAACGCUAAUCGGAUCAGGGUCAGUCGGGUCCUAAGGCUCAGCCGAACGGCGAUGCCGAUGGCAGAAACGGUUAAUAUUCCGUUACUACCUUCAGGAGUGACGUGGAGACGCAGUAGUGACAGUGCCGCCAUCUGACGGAAUAGAUGGUUGAAGGGUGUAGGAGUCGAUCAUGGCAGGCAAAUCCACCAUGAGAUCCGAACCUGACAGUAUGCCGCGUCCUUCGGGACAAGGCAAUAGUGCGCGUAAGCAUGCUGCCGAGAAAAUCCGCUAAACUUAAUCCUGCAGGUACCCGUACCGCAAACGGACACACGUAGUCGGGAUGAAUAUUCUAAGGCGCUUGAGUGAUUCACGGUUAAGGAACUAGGCAAACUGACCCUGUAACUUCGGGAUAAAGGGUCCCUACCCUUUUAUGGGAGGGCGCAGAGAAUCGGUCCAGGCAACUGUUUAACAAAAACACAGGGCUGUGCCAAAUCGAAAGAUCCAGUAUACAGCCUGACACCUGCCCGGUGCUGGAAGGUUAAGAGGAGAUGUCAUCGAUAAGAGAAGCGUUGAAUUGAAGCCCCAGUAAACGGCGGCCGUAACUAUAACGGUCCUAAGGUAGCGAAAUUCCUUGUCGGGUAAGUUCCGACCUGCACGAAUGGUGUAAUGAUCUGGACGCUGUCUCAACCGUGAGCUCAGUGAAAUUGUAGUAUCGGUGAAGAUGCCGAUUACCCGCGAUGGGACGAAAAGACCCCGUGAACCUUUACUAUAGCUUAUCAUUGAAUCUGGGCACGUGAUGUGUAGGAUAGGUCGGAGGCUUUGAAGCAGGUACGCCAGUAUUUGUGGAGCCGCUGUUGAAAUACGACCCUUUAUUUGUUUGGAUUCUAACCCGUGGAACGGGGACAUUGAUUGGUGGGUAGUUUGACUGGGGUGGUCGCCUCCAAAAGCGUAACGGAGGCUUCUAAAGGUGCCCUCCGGCCGAUUGGUAACCGGCCUUAGAGUGUAAUGGCAUAAGGGCGCUUGACUGGGAGACUAACAAGUCGAUCAGGUAGGAAACUAGAGCAUAGUGAUCCGGUGUUUCCGUAUGGAAGGGACAUCGCUCAAAGGAUAAAAGGUACUCCGGGGAUAACAGGCUGAUCCCUCCCAAGAGCUCAUAUCGACGGAGUGGUUUGGCACCUCGAUGUCGGCUCGUCACAUCCUGGGGCUGGAGAAGGUCCCAAGGGUUGGGCUGUUCGCCCAUUAAAGUGGCACGCGAGCUGGGUUCAGAACGUCGUGAGACAGUUCGGUCUCUAUCUAUCGUGGGCGUAUGAAAUUUGCGUGGCUCUGACACUAGUACGAGAGGACCGUGUUGGACAGACCUCUGGUUUGCCGGUUGUGCCGCCAGGUGCAUUGCCGGGUAUCUAAGUCUGGAUCGGAUAAGUGCUGAAAGCAUCUAAGUACGAAGCCGGCCACAAGAUUAGAUUUCUCAGGGUCGUUGUAGACUACGACGUUGAUAGGAUGCAGGUGUAAAGAUGGAGACAUCAAAGCCGAGCAUUACUAAUUGCCCGUUCACUUUCCUUA